Molecule: non-coding RNA, 232 nt
Organism: Pelobates cultripes (western spadefoot toad)
Lineage: Eukaryota; Metazoa; Chordata; Amphibia; Anura; Pelobatidae
Source: the annotation of a GenBank genome assembly
CGCGGGAUUCUGUAGGUGGUCCGCGACUACUAUAUUGAGCUCCUUGGAAAGGGCAGCCCCCAAUGUAGCGAGGAGGGAACCUCCCACGGGAGAAGGGUGGAUGACUUCUUGUGCGAGCUCACGCUCCCUGAGCAUAGCGACCUCUCUUUUGACGAGUUGGUCAGCGAGAUCACCAUAGAAGAGGUCACAGAGAGUAUCCAACAGCAGAACAAGUGUAAGUCGCCAGGUCCUA